UGGCAUGGACAGUUCGGCAACAGAUGGACACCAUCCCUGCCCAGUGACGGGCUCACCGUCUAAACGGGGGGACAAAGACGACAGAGCGAAACGGAAUAAAACGAAACAAGACGGCAUCAUCGAGAUAAACAGAAUGAAGGCGAUGCGCACCUCGUUAACAAAAUAAACAGGCGGUUGCAGGUAUUAGACGGGGAUUGGCUAUUCUGCGUCGAUCUGCCCUUCACCCCCAACCCUUCUUCUUAGCACGCCGCGUAUCUUGGUGGAAGUCACCUCUCCGCGGAGAGCGUCUCUCACAGGCUCCCGGGACUGAGCCCAAACUCACCUGUAAGUCCGGAGGUCAGAGGAUCCGCAGGCGGAGCCGCCCUCUCGGGCCUCCAUGGCCACUCCCGCCCCAACGGGCCCCCCGGAUCCGGGAGCCGAGCCGCCUUCCCGCUGGACGGCGUGACGGCCCCCUUCCCAUCGGCCGGGCGUGAUGGAGGAGCCGAUCGAGCUGGGGGGCCCGGAGGGGAGGCCCUCCGGGAGGAGACGGCUGCGGUGGGGCCGAGUCCUCUUCCUCUUGGCCCUCGUGCUCCUUCCGUCCACCCCCCGGCUCCUCGGGAGCCCCGGGGCCCCCGCUUCGCCGUGGGGGGACACCCCGUCCCAACGUCCCGGGAGACGGGCCGGCGGGGACCCGUCCGGGGGCGAGAUCCCGGGCCCGGGCAGCGACCCGCGGAGGCCCGGGUCGGGCCCGGGAACUGCUGGUCCCCGGCCCUGGGAGGCCC
Molecule: long non-coding RNA, 761 nt
Organism: Ornithorhynchus anatinus (platypus)
Lineage: Eukaryota; Metazoa; Chordata; Mammalia; Monotremata; Ornithorhynchidae
Exons: 3
Source: RefSeq, a predicted model, not a curated record